Molecule: ribosomal RNA, 605 nt
Filed under: Staphylococcus haemolyticus
Lineage: Bacteria; Bacillati; Bacillota; Bacilli; Caryophanales; Staphylococcaceae
Description: bacterial SSU rRNA
Rfam family: Bacterial small subunit ribosomal RNA
Source: RNAcentral
ACACGUGGGUAACCUACCUAUAAGACUGGGAUAACUUCGGGAAACCGGAGCUAAUACCGGAUAAUAUUUCGAACCGCAUGGUUCGAUAGUGAAAGAUGGUUUUGCUAUCACUUAUAGAUGGACCCGCGCCGUAUUAGCUAGUUGGUAAGGUAACGGCUUACCAAGGCGACGAUACGUAGCCGACCUGAGAGGGUGAUCGGCCACACUGGAACUGAGACACGGUCCAGACUCCUACGGGAGGCAGCAGUAGGGAAUCUUCCGCAAUGGGCGAAAGCCUGACGGAGCAACGCCGCGUGAGUGAUGAAGGUCUUCGGAUCGUAAAACUCUGUUAUUAGGGAAGAACAUACGUGUAAGUAACUAUGCACGUCUUGACGGUACCUAAUCAGAAAGCCACGGCUAACUACGUGCCAGCAGCCGCGGUAAUACGUAGGUGGCAAGCGUUAUCCGGAAUUAUUGGGCGUAAAGCGCGCGUAGGCGGUUUUUUAAGUCUGAUGUGAAAGCCCACGGCUCAACCGUGGAGGGUCAUUGGAAACUGUAAAACUUGAGUGCAGAAGAGGAAAGUGGAAUUCCAUGUGUAGCGGUGAAAUGCGCAGAGAUAUGGAGGA